AUACGGAGGGGGCUAGCGUUGUUCGGAAUUACAGGGCGUAAAGCGCGUGUAGGCGGAUCGUUAAGUCAGGGGUGAAAGCCCGGGGCUCAACCCCGGAACUGCCCUUGAUACUGGCGAUCUAGAGUCCGGAAGAGGUGGGCGGAAUUCCCGGUGUAGAGGUGAAAUUCGUAGAUAUCGGGAGGAACACCAGUGGCGAAGGCGGCUCACUGGUCCGGCACUGACGCUGAGACGCGAAAGCGUGGGGAGCAAACAGGAUUAGAAACCCCAGUAGUCC
RNAcentral lists this ribosomal RNA (274 nucleotides) under uncultured bacterium. Its description in RNAcentral is "partial 16S ribosomal RNA". It matches the Rfam family "Bacterial small subunit ribosomal RNA", at positions 523 to 796 of the family's 1533-position model. The record is from RNAcentral.